This 275-nucleotide long non-coding RNA is filed under the name Setaria italica (foxtail millet). Its description in RNAcentral is "long non-coding RNA (SITA_LNC003210)". The record is from RNAcentral. Lineage: Eukaryota; Viridiplantae; Streptophyta; Magnoliopsida; Poales; Poaceae.
UAAAUAUUAUACACAUAAGUCGCAAAAAGGAAGGAAAGCUGUGGAAGUCACGCCUGAAAGAUAAGAAAUACUCAAAACUGUGCUACGUUCUAAAAAUGAUAUGGGACUUCUCUUGAGCAAUUAACCAAAUAGAUUGCGAGUGUUCACAGUACAUUUGAGAAAUACUAAAAACUGAGGAUUUUUGGUCUUGAGGGCACAAUACAGGGGGCAUCGAUGUUGCAGAAGCUGCCAUUGCAUCUCAACUGCAUCAAUUUUCAAUGGUAAGAUGGAUGGCC